This is a long non-coding RNA of Danaus plexippus (monarch butterfly), 1346 nucleotides long. RefSeq lists it as uncharacterized. The record is from RefSeq and is a predicted model, not a curated record. The transcript has 5 exons. NCBI's taxonomy places the organism in Eukaryota, Metazoa, Arthropoda, Insecta, Lepidoptera, Nymphalidae.
CUAACUGUUUUUAAAAUAAAUAUAGGACUAUGAAAAAAAUAUAAGUAAAUUUAUCAAUUAUAGGCUGCUUAAAAUAUCUGGCCCUAAUAAGUUAACCUACAUAUCCUGUUGUUUACCUGUUUAUCCUAAAUAAAGCAUCUAAUUUUCCAACUUAAAUUCUUACUACCAAGGGUGAAUGAAAGUGCCCAUAGGCCUGCCAUUUAUGACAUUAAUCUAUAAAAUAAAUUUGUUAUCAUAAUUCUUUAUAAAACACACCAGAACAAAGAAUAACUGGAUCGUAUAAAAAAAUCUUUAUUAGUACGACAGAAAAUUAUUCUAAUAACAACCAAGAAUUAUGGAUAAGGCUCUAUAGCAACUGGAAGUACAUUAUAUAUGGUCUAAUGAUAAAAUGCUGUUUUCAUUGCUAUAAUAAUAUACAAGAAUGAGAAUAGUUUCAGUUUUUUAUAUUUGCUAAUAAAAUUGUCAAUCUCCUUGGACGAAAUAUAUAAAGGGGCACUCCUGUUUUUUUUUUACAGCAAAAAUUAAAAGUGAUUUUCCAGGCUGGUUGUUUGUUGCUGUCACUUGUGGCCGGAAUUAUAGGUUUACCCUUAAACGGAGAACAGGAUACAUCACCUUACUUUGAUUCUACCCAACGUCGAAUUUACAAUGGUGAUGAAGCUGGUCCCGUGCCUCAUAUGGUAGCUUUGGUCGUCGGUACACACACUAAAACCUUCGUAUGUGGUGCCUCCCUUAUUACAACACGCCAUGUGCUCACAGCCGCUCACUGUAUCGAUGCUGUUACGAAAAACGGUGCUCUGAUUGGGUCUCUCAAAGGAAUUGUUGGGACAAAUUAUUGGAACAAAGGCGGAACUCACUAUACUUUUACUGUCAAACAUUCCUCAUCCUCAAUGGGACUCAAGAAGAAAAAGGAAUGAUAUUGGUAUACUUGUCACGUCACUACCGGUGACACUAAAUAAAUAUGUGCAGGUCGUUGGUCUUAAUUUUAAUUUUAUUGGUGGAAACGUCCCUGUAAUUGUCCACGGAUGGGGUAGACUUCAAAAGGAGGCCAAAGAAUCUUCACCUUCACUUCAGGAACUUAGAACAUUUACCAUUGAUAGCAGUUCGUGUGCAUCACGUAUAUUGAAUAGACAAAAUGGUACAACCAGUUUCGAUCCAAAUAGGGAAAUUUGUACUUUUCUUGAUAAGUACUCAGGCGUUUUCUUUGGUGAUUCAGGCAGCCCAUUAAUACUUCAAGAUACUAGGCAGCAAAUUGCUGUCGUAUCGAGGGGAUUUUUAGGAACUACUUCCAGAUAUCCCGACCUGUAUAUGAGAGUUAGUGCCUACAAAGAUUGGAUCCAACAAAUCAU